This 560-nucleotide ribosomal RNA is filed under the name uncultured bacterium. RNAcentral's name for it is "bacterial SSU rRNA". It matches the Rfam family "Bacterial small subunit ribosomal RNA", at positions 355 to 902 of the family's 1533-position model. The record is from RNAcentral.
UGGGGAAUAUUGGACAAUGGGCGCAAGCCUGAUCCAGCCAUACCGCGUGGGUGAAGAAGGCCUUCGGGUUGUAAAGCCCUUUUGUUGGGAAAGAAAUCCAGCUGGCUAAUACCCGGUUGGGAUGACGGUACCCAAAGAAUAAGCACCGGCUAACUUCGUGCCAGCAGCCGCGGUAAUACGAAGGGUGCAAGCGUUACUCGGAAUUACUGGGCGUAAAGCGUGCGUAGGUGGUCGUUUAAGUCCGUUGUGAAAGCCCUGGGCUCAACCUGGGAACUGCAGUGGAUACUGGGCGACUAGAGUGUGGUAGAGGGUAGCGGAAUUCCUGGUGUAGCAGUGAAAUGCGUAGAGAUCAGGAGGAACAUCCAUGGCGAAGGCAGCUACCUGGACCAAGCACUGACACUGAGGCACGAAAGCGUGGGGAGCAAACAGGAUUAGAUACCCUGGUAGUCCACGCCCUAAACGAUGCGAACUGGAUGUUGGGUGCAAUUUGGCAGCGACAUGGUAUCGAAGCUAACGCGUUAAGUUCGCCGCCUGGGAGUACGGUCGCAAGACUGAAACUC